Molecule: ribosomal RNA, 250 nt
Filed under: uncultured bacterium
Lineage: Bacteria
Description: partial 16S ribosomal RNA
Rfam family: Bacterial small subunit ribosomal RNA
Source: RNAcentral
UACGUAGGGUGCGAGCGUUAAUCGGAAUUACUGGGCGUAAAGCGUGCGCAGGCGGUUCGUUGUGUCGGAUGUGAAAGCCCCGGGCUCAACCUGGGAAUGGCAUUCGAAACUGGCGGGCUGGAGUGUGGCAGAGGGGGGUGGAACUCCUGGUGUAGCAGUGAAAUGCGUAGAGAUCAGGAAGAACACCGAUGGCGAAGGCAGCCCCCUGGGCCAACACUGACGCUCAGGCACGAAAGCGUGGGGAGCAAAC